Etheostoma spectabile (orangethroat darter) is the source of this 80-nucleotide long non-coding RNA. RefSeq lists it as uncharacterized. The record is from RefSeq and is a predicted model, not a curated record. NCBI's taxonomy places the organism in Eukaryota, Metazoa, Chordata, Actinopteri, Perciformes, Percidae. The transcript has 3 exons.
UGCCGUGUGGAGUGGCCAGAGCCUCCUCCCCAGCGCAGUGUGUGGAUGGCCUGGCAAAGCGAGACUAUAUCAGUGGGAAC